RNAcentral lists this ribosomal RNA (195 nucleotides) under uncultured bacterium. RNAcentral's name for it is "partial 16S ribosomal RNA". It matches the Rfam family "Bacterial small subunit ribosomal RNA", at positions 328 to 540 of the family's 1533-position model. The record is from RNAcentral.
ACGCUCGACACCUACGGGGGGCAGCAGUGGGGAAUAUUGCACAAUGGGGGAAACCCUGAUGCAGCGACGCCGCGUGGAGGAAGAAGGUCUUCGGAUUGUAAACUCCUGUUGUUGGGGAAAAAGNGGAUGGUACCCAACAAGGAAGUGACGGCUAACUACGUGCCGANNCGCCGGAGUAUNGNGGCGGNGNGAGAG